RNAcentral lists this ribosomal RNA (518 nucleotides) under uncultured bacterium. RNAcentral describes it as "bacterial SSU rRNA". It matches the Rfam family "Bacterial small subunit ribosomal RNA", at positions 791 to 1315 of the family's 1533-position model. The record is from RNAcentral.
UAGUCCACGCCGUAAACGAUGGUUACUAGCUGUUCGGACUUCGGUCUGAGUGGCUAAGCGAAAGUGAUAAGUAACCCACCUGGGGAGUACGUUCGCAAGAAUGAAACUCAAAGGAAUUGACGGGGGCCCGCACAAGCGGUGGAGCAUGUGGUUUAAUUCGAUGAUACGCGAGGAACCUUACCAGGGCUUAAAUGUAGAGUGACAGAUCUAGAGAUAGAUUUUUCUUCGGACACUCUACAAGGUGCUGCAUGGUUGUCGUCAGCUCGUGCCGUGAGGUGUCAGGUUAAGUCCUAUAACGAGCGCAACCCCUGUUGUUAGUUGCCAGCAUGUAAAGAUGGGAACUCUAACGAGACUGCCGGUGCAAACCGUGAGGAAGGUGGGGACGACGUCAAAUCAUCACGGCCCUUACGUCCUGGGCCACACACGUGCUACAAUGGCCGGUACAGAGGGAAGCCACCACGUAAGUGGGCGCGGAUCUAUAAAACCGGUCACAGUUCGGAUCGGGGUCUGCAACUCGA